RNAcentral lists this long non-coding RNA (1117 nucleotides) under Pan troglodytes (chimpanzee). Its description in RNAcentral is "long non-coding RNA NONPTRT002216". Lineage: Eukaryota; Metazoa; Chordata; Mammalia; Primates; Hominidae. The record is from RNAcentral.
GACACCAGAGCCUGGGCCCUGUCUCCACCAUGCAGCCCUGGGGUGGGGGCACAUGUUUGGUGAUUGCCAGGGUCAUGAUGCAGUGAGCCGAGAUUGCGCCACUGGACUCCAGCCUGGGUGACAGAGUGAGACUCCAUCUCAAAAAAAAAAAAAAACGAAAAGAAGGACUGGCACAUUCUCAUAUAUAACGUGAAAUGGAAAAAAUCAAGAAUGCCAAACUGUAUGUAGGGUAAGGUACGAAUUAUGUUAAACCUGUGCAUAUAUGUAGGAAAGAAAAUGGAAGGAAAUAACCAAUAUGGAAAUGGGAGUUAGAAAAUACUAUUUUGCAUUUUCUAAAUGUUCUAUAAUGAACGUAUUACUCUUAAAAUUAGGGAACAGAUUUUAGGGAAAGGACCACCUGCCACUGUGGAAAUAAAACACACAUCUUGACAACAGAUGAGAGUUCAGGGGUAGCUCAUUCUCAAAGCCGAGGCCCCUGGGAGAGACAUAGGCUUCCCUGGCUUUUCCCGUCCUGCUGGGUUCCCUCCCGGGGUGGUGCUCCAGAGCCACAGGUGCUGCUGCAGAGUGGGAGAUCCCCUGUAGAGACUGGGCUGGAAGAGCUCAGUUACAGGCUUGCUCUCACCUUACUCAGGCAAGUAACCCUGGUAAGCACUUCACAUGCUCCCCCAGUGCUCCUGGGGCACCCUGGCUAGAGCUGGAGCCAGGCCUGCUUCCUCCUGUAACUCGAGGCGAGGAUCCCAGCCUUUCUCACUCCACUCCAGGCUUCUCCAUCCCCAGAGACAUGGGCUCCUUUCCAUUUGGCCCUAAGCGAGGCCAAUGAUGUGAACCUCCCUCUUCCCGCCUUCUCCCACCCACACACCUGCCUCUCCUCCCAGGUCUUCUUGGAACCACAGUGAGCCCACCACAUAACAUAAAAUAGGCAGAUUUAUGGGCAAUACUCCAGAGCUGUGAAAAUAGAAUCUGUGAGGGCGGGGGCUGGUAGUGUGGAUUUUAGCAGGCCUCCCAGAUGAUUCUGCCAUGCCUUGACCUUAUGUAUUUUAUUGUUAUAAUUUAUAUAUAUAAAAUUUACCCUUUUUAGUAUAUAGUUGAGUUCUGACAAACAUGUUUUUAUAACCAA